Long non-coding RNA from Passer domesticus (house sparrow), 13801 nucleotides. RefSeq lists it as uncharacterized. The transcript has 6 exons. NCBI's taxonomy places the organism in Eukaryota, Metazoa, Chordata, Aves, Passeriformes, Passeridae. The record is from RefSeq and is a predicted model, not a curated record.
UGUCAGAUAUAGAGGGCUUUUGAUGUUGGUUCUUUAUCUUGUGUGGAUUUUUGUGCAGUGGGCCUUUCAUAUGUAUAACAUGGAAUAGUGUGUUUUACUGAGAAUGCAGGCAAGGUAAAUAUCUAAUGCAAUGUGCUAAAUGAUGUGGAUAUGUGGAUAUACAACCAUUUGUGAGUUUUGUGCUUUUAUUUAGGUAUUCCUGAGUGCAGAAGAGCAAAUAAAAAAUUGUAACUGGUAGCUAAAUUUAUUUGAACUCACUGUUUCAUAGUAGCAGGUACAGAUAGCAGGAGGUUUAUGAUUGUUUUCCUUAGAAACUCCCAAAUUCAGAUAAGAUAAAAUAUUUUCAUGGUCUCUGUUGACCAGGACUUGGGAGCGUUAGGCUAAACUUUGACUUUGCAACCAGGCAAUUGGAUUUAUGGGCAUGACGCAAUCUUUUAUUUUCCACUUGUGAAAUGGGUGAAACCACUGAGACCAAUGGCUGAUCAGCCAUAAGUGAGUCUGCCACGCAUCCCCAAAUGGAUCAGAUGACCUCUUGGGGUGUUUGGCAGUCUUAUUUUCUGAUUGCUUUUCCCUGCCUUUUUCCAUUUAAAAUGCAGUGCAUCUGAUUAGUCAUAGCAAUGGGCGUAUCUUAUCCUGUAUGUACUCAGUCUCAACACAGUGACAUCUAGUGCCAGCAAGGGGCUCCCAGCAUUAUUGCAGUACAAAUAAACAAAAAAUACAGCCUUGGUGUGAGUUGGUUAUUACUGCUCAAAAACAAUACAGCAGAUAUUUUUUAUCUCCCAGGAAAAAGUUUUCACUGAGACAAAGAGAGAAUUAUCACUUCAUGAAUAAACAACUGCAUAGAUUUUUCAGACAAAAAAAAGCAGAAAGAGCUUUCCAGGAAUAGUAUAAUUCCUUUUGUUAAGUUGCUCUAAAGGACACUGUGCUCCUUGCCAUUUUACCACAAAAAUAUAUUUCUCCAUCUGUGAGGAAAUUUGUUUUCCAACUUGGUGAACUAUGGUGUGGUUUUAGAGCUGUCAUGAAUCUUGUGCAAGGAACAUGGGAACGGUUCUGAUAUAUGACAUAUGUAGUGCAACUACUAUGAUGAAAACCAUUCAAGGAACUCAUAUUUUUUCUUUCUCCUCUGCUAUGUUCAGAGAACCCUUCACUGUGUCAUCAGUGUGGAGUUACAGAGCUCCAAAACUGCAUGUCAGAAAACUCAGAAAACAUCACUGGUUCCAGGUCAUCCCUCAUGUAACUCCAUGGAUUUGGAUGAGAUUAUGCCAGGAGUAAACUGAGCCCAGUGAUCUUCACUGAGCCUGCUUGACUUCAUGAGAUUCAACAUGAGGAUUUGUAAUGUUAAACUGUCAGCAGAGGCCAAAGAAUUCUGACCUAGUUCUGUCAGGUUCAGAGCAAUACUGUCCACAAAGCCUUAGCCUGGUACAGGCGGAGCCCAGGAUGUCAGGGAGCAAAGCCAGGCAGAAGGGUUGCAAGGACAGCUGACAAAUCCCACAAGCAGCACAAAAUUUCCACUUGGGGGUGAUACCUGGUGAUGAGGAGGAGAGCACGUCUCUGACUCUACCCCGGCUCUCUUCUCUCCUGCUGCUGUUUUGUCAGGUUAAGACACAGAGGUGUCAACGCUGUGUCAGAUCAGAGAUGAAUCUGGCUGCUCAUCCUGCAUUUGACAGUGGUCAAUAGCAGCGAUAGAAGAGCGUAAGAUGCCUGCAGCCAUACAGCCUCCUUGGGUUCAAAACCCUGAAAGACAUAAGUAUCUUUUGAGAAGACAGAAAGAGAGACUUGGGGCUUUUCAGCCUGCAGAAGAGAAGGCUCUGGGGAGACCUUAGGGCAGCCUUUCAGUACCUAAAGGAGCCUACAAAAAAUCUGAGGAGGGACCUUUCACAAGGGCACAUAGUGACAGCAAAAGGGAGAAUGGCUUUAAAGUGAAAGAGAGUAGGUUUAGAUCAGACUUAAGGAAAAAAUCUUUACUGUGAAAGUGGUAAGAGACUGGCACAGGUUGCCUAGAGAACUUGUGGAGGCCCCAUCCCUGGAAGUGUUCAAGAACAGCUUGGAUGGGGCUUUAAACAGCCUGAUCUACUGGAAGGUGUCCCUGUCCAUGGCAAGAGGAUUGGAACUGGAUGGUCUUUAAGGUACCCUCCAACCCAAUCCAUUCUGUGACUUUGUGAUGAUCCAGAGGCUGUGGGAAUGUGGAAAUGAAAUAACUGGAAUGUGAACCUGUUUCUUCUUACAAAAGAAAUGGGUUAUGGCCGACAUAGUCAAACUAUUACAGAGCUUGCUCUCUGCUUGCUCCUGUGGCAGAGCUUUCUACUGCUGGUAUUGUCUGCAAAAUUAACAUGGUGAACAGGACAGAGGAAUCCAUGAGGGGACCUACAUUACAGAAUCAUAGAAUAUCCUGACUUGGAAGGGACCCACAAAAAUCAUCAGUCCAACUCCUGGCCCUCCACAGGAGAGCCCCAAGAACCUGAGAGUGUUUGAAGUCCACUCUGGCAGGCACCAGGGGGAAGGCAUGUUCUCACUUGAGAGUGUGUCAGGACAAUACUUUGGAUUAAGGGAAGUUAAACUUUGCAAUGUCCUACUUGUGAAAGUUCAUAGCAAUACAAUUGUCAUUUUAGCAAAAUCAGAGCUAAACAGACCUUCACUGAAUGUGGGCUACUUUCAGGCAAAAAUCUCUCUAUUCUUCCUAUUUUCUUUUCUUUUUAAGAACAUUAUGUGGACCUGCUUGAAUCUGAAUAUACUAAUUGCAUUAUUUAUGCUGCAUUUGAUAAAGUAAUUGAAAUAAAUUGGAGGGUUAAUGAUGACUCACUGUUUUGGUGAACCCCCAUGGUAUAAACAGCAACAACAGGGAAUUAGGCUGUUUCACAAGAACAUUUUCUGAAGUUAUGGUCUUUGAUCAGUUCUCCUAAGUAAAUUGACACUGCACUGAUGGUCAUAAAAUCAAUGUGAGGUGACAGAAACUGGGUUGCUGUUUUUGUGGAACAAGAGCAUAUCCUCUGUGCACCAUACACAUUUUUUUUCUCUCCUGUGACCUUUUUAAAAUCUGUUGGCAGGGAUAAAAAAUCAUAUUCACACACAAUAUUUCCCUCAAAAUGGGAUUGUAACGUAGUCCCUUUCCAUAGCUGUGGCUCAUCUCUUGACCUGCAGCGUCCCACGUAAUCUAAUUCACUCCUUCUCUUGCUUGAUGCCCCAGAGACAUCUGCUGCAGCUCUGAGGGGCCCAGGGUGAAUCUCUGCUCAGAUAUCUCAGUGCCAUGUACUCCCUAAGCACCUCUGUCUUGGGAAGAUUGUGACUUCCUUGCCUGCAGGGGUAGCCACAGAACAGCAAAAGAAAAGGCCACCUCUCCCUGCUUCCAAAGCUGUCAUCCCCCAGCACUUGUGUCUGCUCAGCCGUGCUGCAGCGUGUGACUAAUAGCAGUGGGCUGCUGCUCGGCGCUGCGCAUCAGGGCAGAGCUGAGCCCUCCCCUGCCAUGCCUGGGAGCAGCACAGUGCUAAAGGUGCUCUAAACAUUUCCUAUGAUAUUAUCAACCUAUCCUGCAAACCACAGUGAAUGCAGAAAUGAGGGAAAUGCACUAAAUACACACUGCUGCUGUCUGCUUUAAGGAUAACCGGGUUGCUGGAGGUAGGAAAAAGGUAUCAAAACAAAGCUUUGGCUCUCAGUGGAUGUGAUGUGUACUGUUGGAAGUAAAAGCACUGAUAAUCAGGAAACUAUUCUGCUGCAUCAAUAUGCUUGACAAGCUGAAAAAUAGCUACAAAAUUUCAUGAAUAUUUCUGUGUAAAUUGCAUUUAAACUAAUGCUGGUGCUUCCCCUUGUAGAUUACGAAUUAGCAACUAUUCUUCUGUUAAUGUAAAUUUAACUUGUUGUUGUUGUUCUCUGCUUUUGUACCAGCUCUACUCCAGUAGAAACUGAAGUGCAAACUUCUCAAAGCGUCCAGAUGGCAACAAUAAUUAUUAUCUUUAGCUACCAUGAUUAUGUUGUCCAAUCUGUGAUAUUGUAAAUCAGUUUUCAGAUGGUCACAGGAGUUGUAGCAAGUUUGUGAAAAGCAUUGCUCAUUAUAUGUUUGUUCAGAAGGAUUGAACCAGAGCACUACAACUCUUUCAACAGAAGUAAAUCAGUGUGGAAGUUUAGAGCUAAAAGGGACUCUGAGUGUGGAGAGACCAGUGUGGUGGGAUGCACACAGUGAGGAAUCCACCAGUCAUGCAGCACAGAGUCCAGGUUUCUCUGAAAUCCACACUCCCAAAGAGAGUUCAGUCAAGGGCUGUGAUAUUUUCUCUUACUGGAAUCAAAGUGUAAAAUGAGAGAAGUCUUUUCUUUGGGCCAAGGCAAAAGCAUGACAUUCAGCUGUAGCACCACUGAUAUUCAGCACCACUGAAGUGAGGGUUUAGCCCUAGUGAAAUUAAUGAGAAUUUCAUGUUUUAAUUACAAGCUUGCAUAGGUUUUGCCCUUCAGAGUUUAUUUUCCCCCUUAACCUAUUUCUAUCCAAUCUGUCAUCUUUUCUUAAUAAUAUUCUGAGGCCAUAUUUUUUUUUUCUUGCUGAAAAUAUUAUCUCUAAGUGUUUCAUAUUUCCAGGGUAAUGGUGACAUUGAAAUGAAAGGAAUGACACACUGAUUUUUAGCAAAGCUUUUAUAAAUUGUCUUUUUAGAUUUAUAAUGUGUCAUUUGAUUUACAGCACUCCUGUUUUUGUGGAUGCUGCUAUCUGUUCACAUUUCUACAAUAGCCACCCCCCCUUUUUUUUGACUUCUCAAAGGCUAAAAUAACACAUAUUUACUCUGAUACUUUUAAAUUUGGAUAACUUGAUGGUCACAAUUGCUGACUCUUAAUAAGAACAGAGCUUGUUUUCCAAGAUAUUAUUUAUCUUGAGCCCCUGACUUGUUAAUCUUACAACUACUAUGGGAAAAAAAUUACUGUUAAAAUUACUGUUAAAUUUUAAAGGUUCCUUACUUACUCUGACAAAAAAAUCUGUUUUUGGUGCUCUCAGAAUUGCUCCUGGGUUUGAUGUAUUUUAGAUUUAUAAGGUCUCCAGAAUUUUUUCCUGAAGAUUAUCAGUAGUCAAAGGUGCUAACCUUCUAUUUUCUCAAGGCGUGAAGACUGAAUUUUUUUCUAUAAUGAACUCACUGUAAUAUCUUAAUUGGAGGGAGUUCAAGGAAUUUUCUCUCACAAUCCUUCUGGCUGUACAUUUAUGGCAAUUAAGAGUCUAUUUAUGGUGCAGAGCAUCUUUUCCCAUGCUGAAGUAUAGGAAUGCUGUCCAAGUGAGUGCCUCUUCCUGCCUGUGUGCAUUACUGGGGUCUGGUCUUGCCACCAUCAAGGGUAUAUUAAUAGAUUAUGUUUUCUUUCCUGCUAAAAUGAGGAAAUAUGAUGACUCAGAUAACCAUUACAAAUUCGCAGGAGGCCCUUCAGCUUCCACAAAGUUCCAGUUUGCCUUUUGUCCAUCACUGGCCAAUACUUGUCAGUGGAAAACUUGUAUUCUUAACUUACCAUGUCAUUACCUGCCCAGGCCCAUGCUGCUCUGUGAGAAAGAUGCUCCCUUUCCUUCAUGGUACCCAUGAAACUUAUGAAUAAAGUUUCAGAGAAAGGCACAGGACUAUUUUCAAAGACUGGUAGGAGAAGGAAUGUAGUGCUUUGUUGUUUCCCAGUUAGUGGGCAAUUGUUUUCAACAGUAGAGAAAUAUGGAUGUACAAGUAUAGCAGGAAUAUAUUAGAGCAGUAUUACAAAAAGGAUUACUAUGUUUAGAAACAGAUAUACAGAACUAUUUGAAAACCAUAAAAAUAUUUCUGUAUUGAAUUAACUCUAAGGUCAGGUCUGUUUCAGGUGACGAACUGCCAGAUGUCAGUCUUAUGGCAAAAUCCUCAGGUCAGCUGUUGCCUUUAUUGUCCAGGAACAAGCAGCAUGGUGAUUUCUGCUGUGAUUUGGGAGCAUGUAUGUCUUGAGCAGAUUUCACGUGGAGAUGAAAACAAAGAUGAACAAGAUGCUUCAGACACUUCAAGUGCUUCAGCACUGCUGAGGGAAAGGAAGAAUAAAUGCUGCUUGAGCUAAGAAAAGAAAAGGAGAAAAAUCUAUUUCAUAUUAUCUUGAGACUGUUGUCUAAAACAGCUUACAUGUAAGGCCUGUCUUGUAAAGAUAUAUAGCAACAUCUGUUUUUGCAAAGUCUUUGACUAUAGACAAAGCAGAAACCUGCUACCUGUAUGACAACUGGACUUCAGGUACAAAAUAGCAAGGUUUUCCAGACCAUAUCAGGCACUUUACCAGUUACUUUUCUGGCAAGAAUGAUGAAGAAAGAUGCAGCAUAGAUUUGCUGUUGAAGAUGAUAUUUUGCCUAACUUUAUGCCUUGAAUCUUUUACUGGAAUCCUCUGAUUUAGGAACAUAGUGGCUUCUCUUGAGAUGUUGGCUGCUGCUCUUAUCCCUCCCAGCUGUCCUCUUAUCUCUUUUGCCAGGCUAGGUAGAAUCAGUGAAGGUGAUUUUAGAAAGCCAUAAUGUUGGCUGUGGCGUUUGCAAGUCUUUUUCAUGAGUAUUAGAGCUGUCCAUAUGCUGAGUGGAGAGGAGAGGGUAGAAAUCUCCAAGCCUUCUCAGAUACCCUAAGAGAUAAGAUCACUGAAAUACUCAAUGAUAAAUGCUGUUUGCGUACUGCUUUAAAGAUGCUGUGGCUAUUCAGUUUGCUUCUACUUUUCUCUAAUUAUCUUUAAAUUUUAAUUCUGUAUUUCUAUUUAUUUUUUGAGGCAGAGAAACACAAGAAUUCCGUGGCGAAAAUAAAACCUGGAAGGAGAAAACACCUGUUCGUGAAGGGCCAGAGGUAUCUUGUGCUCCUGCCAGGGUGCUAAGGAUAUACUAAGUGCAAAGUUUGCCAGCUGGCAAACUCAGAAUUUUCUUGAAGGAAGGAAAAACAUCCUCUGUAAGACAAAACCCUUUAGACAAUUCUUUUUCUCCCCACUUCACCUAGAGAAAAGCAACUGAGGUGCGUAAUGGUAAAGUCUGACACAGCUGAGAGCAAGCCUGUGCACAGUGAUUUGAGGGAAGACACAAGGGCCAGGAUUGUCUUUUAAUUUGUCCAUUGCCUGAAGGAUGAAAGAAAACUGCUGUCAGUCACAAAGUGCAAAGGAAGAUAUUCUAGUGUGCUUAGGACUGCAAAAGGGACUCUUUUAUCCCUUCAGUGAUCUGUGAGUAAUUUCUGAAAUAAAACCUUCAAGUCACCUGCAAAGCCAGUUUCAGAGAGAACAGUAACAAAUAUUUAUUCUAGGAGUUCUGGAAGAAAAAAAGAAAAAAGAAUAAAAAAGAAAAAAACCCCAUCCCUGCCCUUUAUUUUUUCUGGUAUUAUCUGCUGUACAAAUGUCAUUAAGUGACAUUUUUCUCCUACAGGCCAUCCAGUAUAUAGCAGGAUUAUUCUUCCUUCUCUCUUCCACUGAAAAACAGAUAGUGGCUGACAGUUAAUGAGGGGGACUCUAAUCUGACAGCACUAUGAAAGCUACUGACAGAAAAGAUCUUGAUAGUGGCAUAAGAAAUUCUUUCUAUCUCAAACUACCAUUAAGGUGCUGUCUGCAGCUGGGAAGUCAGGAUAUUCUCCUCUAAACGAAGCUUGUAAGAUCUGUAUCCUCUUGUACAUCUGCAACCUCUUUAAGAGGAAAACCCAAAACAGCUGUGGGGAAAUAAGAAAAAUAAGAAAAUAAAGGCAUUCAAAAUAUAAGGACCUACUAAAAUUAAAUUCCUAAAUAGGAGUUUGUUGCCAUCAUUCUAUGCUCAACAAUUAAGCUGUAUUUUGCUUUCAGUUGCCCCGUUCUGUCCGAGUUACUCCAUGUGCAUAUAUAUGGAUAUAGAGAUGGAGAUUUCACCAUGGGAGGUUCUCUGUAUCACAUGGGACUUCCCAAACUGUGGAACGUGAUGUUUAAAUUUACAUGACAGACAACCUUCUCCUGAUUUUGGAUAGUACAAGCUUUUCUGGAUUACUUGCUCUAGACCAUGUGGCAUGAACAAAAACUAUCCCCUCAGCCUCAGCCCUGUCCCUUCAGCCCCAGGGGACCACUCUGUGGGACAGGUAUUGACCUUUCCUUGAGGUGGCCCCUAAGUAUUUCAGGGCAGAAGUUUUUUUGAAAUGUGCACUCAGGAUUUUUUCUCUGGUAUGCUCAGGCCUAUGGUUUUAAACUAUUUAAACUCCGGACGCUACUGGUGUUAGAGACAGAAGUUUCUGUGUGAUGAAGGGCAGAUUAUGAAUGUCAGCCAUUUGGACACAGCUUCUUUUUGAGAACAUGCAAUGAUUUAACUUCUGAGAUCUUUUACUGGGCUUGAAGAAGGGGCUAAUGCAGACCUAUAUUGGCGGCUAUGAGAAAGGCAGUGGUGGGAAGCGUAGCAAACAAAAUGUGACCAGAGAAGUUAAAACGACGUUUUGUUUUCAGAGAGUCUGAAGCACUGAAGACUUUUUGUAUCAAGUUUGUUACUUGUUCAGUCUUUAUUGAACUUUUCCAAAGAGUUGUCCCUUAUAUGUGUAUUUCAGUAAAAAAGAGAAAUGUUGCUUUGAUGUAGGUUUUGUUUCUUUGAGCAAAGAACAGGCCAUCCAGGUGCUCAACCCCUUCUAACAGGAAAACUUGAAUGAAGCAGUGAUCCUACCCAGCCUGUCCCUGGCAUUUUGUAGAGUUAAACUUCAUGCAUUCUUGCCAAAGCUCUGAUCAUUUUUGAAAUUGGCACAUAUAAAUGCAUACUGUACUCUCUGUGUUUUUUCCCACUGCUAUGUUGUCUGCUCACAAAAGGUUGUAAUUCUGUGUGCUUUUCUACAACUAGCGCUACUUUUUUUUUUCUUCACCUACACAUUCAAUUUUAGUGUGCCAUCUGCUUUCAACCUGCUUAAUGUUAUACUCCAGCUUUUAAUGACAGAAGAUAUCAAGUGCCAUGGUUCUUACUUUAUUGCAAAAGAUGGCAUGCAGACCUUCUUUAAAUGAUUCCAAAUCAUCUAAAGCCUCUGUUUGGAUGGUUUUCAAAGGCAGGCUAGGGUUGUCAAGCUUCUACUGCAGAGCUUGCGAGCACUUUUCACAGGUUAAUCUUUUUAAAGGCCUCUAUCUGAGGUUCUUUAGUUUCCUAAAGGCUCUUUUUUUUGCCUACUUCAAAGCUUUAUGUGAAAAUUACAUACAUCAUUGUCUUAAUUUGUCCUGACAGGUGCAAACUCUUGUUUGACCUAAAAUACAGAGAAAAAAUCAACCAAAGAAUCCCUACCUUAAAAAACGCAUUAAAUAAUUUUUGUCAUUUUUCUCCUCCAAACUGAGACUUCCUUUAAUACCUGAUGUUUAAAAAUCUUGAACCCUGAUUGUUUCUGGAAUCAAAAUAAUGUGGACCUUCAGCUCAGGAAUCUGAUCUUAAUUUUGAAAUGGAAUAGCUUCAAUAAGUACUUUAGUCACUUUGGGCUACUUUUUGGUUCCCUAGCUGUGGAAAUUGCAGCUUUUCUCUGGAGGCCAGCUUUCUGAGGAGCAGCGAAUAACCUCCAUGAGUGUCCUGCGUUUGUUAUCCACGAUGAAUACUUUCUCCAAUUCCCUGAUAUGUACAAGGCAGACUGCUGGCCAGGGGAGAAAGCACUGAACCUUUCCUUUAUCCAGUUUAGGGAUGUGUGUCAGAAGAGCCCAGCUUUGGUGGUGCCUGCUGUGUCCCCUGUGCUAGUCUAAACAAGAAGGCCAUAUACCCUCGCAAGCAGCAAUAAAAAAGAUUUUUUUCUGAGGCUUUCAUACAAACAGAAGGCUGAUUUUCUUGGCUGGAUUUCUGAAUAGAUGUUUUAUUUCCUUAGAUUUUGAACUGCGGUUUCUGCUUGCACAUAGGUCUAUUAAGGAUUUAGGAAAUCCCUGUGGGCACCAAUCUGCAUCUUUAAGCACUUUAAGUAUCUUUACAGUGUUGUUCUUCACUUAUCUAUGGGGAGAUAGCUCCUCAGCAGAAGUUAAAAUUCUUUCUAGAAAUACCUUUGCAGUACAGGAAAGAUAUUUUUCUCUAUGAAACUUGUAGAUUGGUUUUGCUAAUAUUCCCAAGCAAUUUCACAGCAAGGAUUAAAUUCUCAGUUAUACUUUGUACAUUUACCCAGGUAUCUAGUAGAAAUUUUUCUUUCUCUUUUUUUUUUAUUUUAUUUUUUGUUAGUAGAAAAGUCCACUUGGAAUGGAUAAAAUGACAUUAUUAAAUACCAGAAUGAAGAUCACUAGGGAAAUAAUCUAGCUGCUGUACUCUAAUGUUAACUCAGUGCUUCUAAAUAAUCAGUAAUCAGCAGCUUGAAUUAGACUGAGAUAGAUCGAGCUAAGUGCUUGACUAUUCAAAGUGAGUGCAAGAGAUCUGGGGAAAAGUUCAGUGCAGUCAGGGGAAAAAAAUGUACUGCAUUAAACAUGCAGGACUAAAGAAAUCAAGCUUCUAUUUUAUUUUAAGUAAACACAUUAUCUUUUGAUAUAUCUUGGUCUUUCUUCAUGUGAAUAAUGAAUCAUGCAGCACUUCAAGCCCUGAUUAAUAUUCUUAAUUGCUCUCCUUUUUUCGUUCUUGCAGCUGGCAGAUGGAAUGCUGCAGAUCAGACGGUGCCAUAUCAGUAGUGUUUGCACUGCCUGUGAACAAAUGGUGCUACAGCCUGCAUGUUUAUCCCCUUUGAUCCAUACACAACUGGAGCAAGGUGCAAUCAUCAGGACUAGCUUUUCUUAGUUUUUUCUUUUUUUAAUUUUUUUUUUUUACCUUUUUUCUCCUAUCUCUGCAGUAUUAACCAUGUUGGGAGCAGAUGAUAGAACACAGACAGUCAGCCUAUUUCUGUAAUGCCAAAUAGUUUUCAGCGAGGAAGUCUGGAAAUCAUAGGAGACCAACAUCCAGAAUGGAUGUCCACAUCUGUCCUCCCUAGAAAAGUAUAUGCUGAAGAAUUGCCUGUCUUCCACCAAGCUGGGCUAAAAAUUCCUUAAUGGGAGUGUCAUUGUUUCUGUGCUUUUCUGUCCACUGCUAAUUAAGAUGGAUAUACAAAGAAUCAAAAAAAAAAAAAAAAAAGCAUCAUAUUAGUAAGAAGCUCAGUGAUGAUUUCUAAUUAGCUGAAAAGUGAAUGAAGGUUCAAUUCUGUUUGCUGGAGGCAAAGAAUAAGUUCUCAAAAUGCAAUAAUCCUAAUUACUUUAGAAAUUUUAAGCUAUUCAGAUCUUUAUAUUUCUUGAAUUAGUGGUUAUCAAAUUACUUUCAGGUAAAAGAAUUACUUUUCUCACUAAAUGCCAACUCUAUUUUGAUAGUCAAAGCAAAACCUUCCUGCUUUGUCAUGUCUGUUAGCAAAAACCAGUCAAUGAAGAGUGACCAUUUUAUAACAUGCAUGUUGGUUUCUUGAUGCUAAAAUUAGAUGACAUUUUAUGUGGUCAGCAUUGCUAUCAUAAUCUAUGCUUUUGCAAUGAAAAUAUUUUAACCUAAGAUAUUAUGCUAUGCAUGAGUCCCUUAGUUUUGGACACAGAAGGGUUUGUGUGUUUUUCAGUCAGUUUUUUAAGAGGAUAUGUGUUUUCUCAUGUAUCAUGUAAGACUUAUAAAUGCACCAAAGGAACCAGAGACUGAUCAACAUAUCAGAAAGUGAUUGCCUAUGAUUAAGGAUUCUAUUUUCCAUAUUCUUCUUCUUGGAAGAAUAUAGGUAAUGAAUCAAAUGACCUCCUGUGAUUGCUUGGAUAUGAUUGUUUAAAAAAAUUAGGAAAAAAGUACAGUAUCACAGAUUAUGAAACCAGCACACAGAACUGCAGCAAAGCCCCCGAGCUCACACAUCAUAAUCCCUCAUCAGCUAUUUCUCUGAAAUAUUUUGGGACUUUGGCAUUAAAAGGACUCAGUGAUUAUAACCAUGUCGUCAGCUUGAAGGAAUUCAGAGGAAGGUGUAUUGGAGAGCACCCAGAGAAAAUAAUAGAUGUGAGGCUAUAAGAUGUCCAUUUAAUUGUCAGAAAUAGUCUGAACAUGUUUGUAUUUAGGACUGCAUCAGUGCCACCCUGGCUGCAGCCACAGGUGACAAUGAAAGCAAAGCAAACUCACUAAAUAAUUUCUAUAAUAAGGUGAUUGUCUAAACAGGUUCUCACAUCAUCAUACUUACUUAUGAAACUUUCCAUUUCCUGUAUAUAGUUUCAUCUUCUUUGGAUUGCAAUAAUUUCUCAGUCAUGUUAUCAUUCUCACUAUUAAUAGCUGAAGGCUCUUCUGUAAGCCCCAAGUGUCUGGUUACAAUCUCCUGGAUGUGUCAAUUGUUCUCUACAUUGUUGAUGUUAUCACUGAGUUUAUAUUUUUGUUGCAGUAUUUGUCACAAGGCUAAAUUCUCAUUGUUGCUGCAUAGGUGUUGUGAAAUGCUUUAUGCAUUCUUCUCUAGAAACCAGAGAAUUGUGGGGUUACAUGCUGCACCAGCACGUUUCUUAUUUUCAACAAAACUAUCUCAUCCUUUUAUUUUUUGCUCCAGUGUCUAAAAUAAAAAUAAUAAUUAAAUAAAAUAUGUUGAGGUGUUUCAUGUACCUAGGGGUGUAAAAAUGCAUCAUUUUGAUUUGAUUUACCACUCUGAUAUACAAAAAGGCCAAUUUUCCCUCUGGCAACAUGUGACAGUUCUAACACCAUUUGCAUUCCAGGCAGGUUCCAAGCCAAAACCAGAGUUGUAUUAGAGAAUUUUUCUGAUACAAAUUUGCUCAGGUCUUGCAGGAUGCCAAAUCAACAAGCCUAACAUUUGCAAACCAGUUUUUUUCCCCCUCCUUCCACACAAUCCAUCACUGUUUUUCUUCAGCAUCUGAACUCGUGGUGAACUGUCUGUUCUAAUAGGCUUCAUCUUCAUUACAGGAUAAUAUAAUGUGUAAGUGUAAAUCGGUAAUGAGAUGUUAGUGCUCUUGGAGAGUGAUUUAUGAGGAGGAAGCUAAAUUCUACUUAAACAAAUACACUUCGUUUUGAAUGCUGACAGAAGAUGAGUAGAGCAUCUCAUUCCUUAUAUCUUUAAGAAAUGGUUUCCUAAUGAAAUCAGAUACUUCAAAUAUCUAGAUCUCUAGCUCAAGACUUAUUUGACAUUUCAUUAUCAUAUGAAUCAUAUUUUUAGCUGGGCACGUUUAGACAUAAAACUUGGGUACUAAGUACUGUGUGAAAAAUUGACUAGGGGAAUUAUAAAGAUUCUAAUAUCUCAGCAUUUUCUUUGCUUUUAUUGAUCAUUGCAAUCUAGCUGAUGUGUCAGCAGCCAAAAAACAUUCUAAGUAAGUUGAUAUAUUAAAAAUGAUACAACCUCACAUCUAGAUUUAUAUUAGAUGCAAUCAGGUGACACACAAGUGUGAUCUACUUUGUGACUUUCAAAAUUUGUUAUGUCAAAAUCAAAGGAAAUUAGACUGAAUAAUAUUCAUAUUUUAGUGCUAGUUGUGCUUAUUUAUUCCGGCAUUUACUGUGAUAUGGUCCCUAACAUUUAUUCUGAAUGAAAGCCCAGAGAAUUAUAACUGCCCUAAAAAAUGUAGUUUUCCAGCAGAAAAUUGUUUGUGUUUAAGUAUAGUUAGUAUAUUCAUAGUUGUUACAAAAUUGUUGCAUCAUCCUUGUUAUCACAUUCAGGUUUUGUACAGAUUUUAUUGAAUUAUAUCCUGAAUAAUACAGAGGAAAAUUGCUGUUAAAAACAGGACAAUUUUUGUUGGGAUUUUUUUUAAAGUUGCCUACUUUGGAUUUAUCUGAAACCUGGUGUUUCAUGUAAUAGUCUGGGUGCGUGCUUGGUUGAAACAAUGCCAUCUCAUGGUACCUAAAUUAUAUAUGCUAAAAAUCACAUAAUUUUCUUGUUGUUAAAAAUGUAUAUGAUAGGUGAAACUUAAGUAAAAAAAAAAAAAGAAAGAAAAGAAAAAAGGACUGAAGAUUUCAAAGUGUUGUUAAACAAAGAGG